GGAUGAAGGCAGAAUUAGGCGAUUGAGUUUCAAACAUCAAUCAGAAUCAGGCUUAUUAUCACUGUAUUACAUGAUGUGAAAUGUGUUGUUCUGAGGCAGGAGUACUGUUAAAAACAUUAAUUUCUCUAAAUUACAAAAUAAAUGAAAACACAUUCCAGCUCCAGGGACAACACAUUCCAAGUCCAGUCCAAAGUGCACAAAAACACCGCUGGUCCCUGUUUGUACAGAAGAUUGUGGCAGAGAACCCAAGUCCAAACUCGCUUUUUAAAAUCAAUAAUCCUGUGUGAUUAAUUCCUUGCUCCAAGCUCAGUAAUUAGUUUCAAAAAUAUUCAUCUUAUUACUUCAACGCUGUGACCCUAUCAGCUCUUUGUGGAGCAUUUCCUCAUAACUGUAAAAAUAGUUCUCACCCCAACAGACACUCAAUUCCAUUUUGAUAAUUGCACAUUUGUUUCCAUCCAACAGUGAAUGAAUUCUGGAUCAGAAAUCAGCCCAGAAUUAAGUAGUUCCCUCUUAACAUUAACUCUUUAAAGUUUCUUCCUCUGUGGACUCUUAGUUGAAUUGUCUUCUGUUAUUUGGGGUAGCAUGGUAACAGAGCAGCUAGCACAAUUGCUUUGUGCGCCAGGGUUCGUUGAUUCCCACCAGUCUUUCAGGAAUUUUUACAUUCUCCCCAUGACUGCAUGGGUUUCUUCUGGGUGCACUAGUUUCCUCCUACAUUCCAAAGAUGUACAGUGGUCACCAACCUUUUUAAGCCCAAGAUCCCCUACCUCGGUCUUGGUGAAAGGUGAGAUCGACUAGUUAGACGCAUGUGCACCGAGGCAGAAAAGACUGGAAGUAGAAAUAAUGUAUAAACACCAGGGGUACCCACCCUUUUUCGCACCGUGGACCUGUUUAAUAUUGACAAUAUUCUUGCGGAACGGCCGACUUGGGGGGGGGGGGGGGGUGUUAAAUGCGACCGGAAUACACCAAUACAGGUUCCUUAUGUCCAGUCUAUUCCGCAAUUUAGUUUUCACAGCUCUCGGCACUUGGUUUCUGUCACGCUUGCUCAUGUUUUUUCCGCUGAAAAAUCUCAACGUGUUUGUUUAAGUGCGGGGUGCUUGGACUCAAGGUGCCGAAGCUGUUUUGAGGACUUCAUUGGCUUGGACAGCCACCCGGCCUGAACUGCAGCCUCCACCCGCCUGCCGCCAGCCAGCUGGUUGUGGGUGGGGUGAGAGGACAAGGUCAGGGCCGGUGGUCCCCGUACCGGGGACACGGCCCGGAGAGAGCGGCUGACUGAAUGAGGAGUGUGACAGGCCCGCGCCUGCCCCCCUUGUCGGAUCUACUGGCCAACAAAAGUUUGUUUCAGUAGAUCGCAGCGUGGUAGCUGCUCUGAUACUUAGGAAACCUUGAGCCCGAGUUAGGUUGUCUACGAAUAUUUUAGCAUCUGGUUCCCCACGAACAUUCGGUGUGGUGAACAGGUUUAGAGGCGGCACCCAUCUGUCCGCGCUCCAGGCCAGUACCAAUGGCACUUCCUGCCGUGAGGGUAUCACUGCAUUUAGGCGAUUGAUGACCUCGCGUGGGUUCAAGUUCAACAGUGGGCGUGACAGGGAAUGAGGAAAGGUGCAGCUGACUCAUAUCGUUUCCUCGCGACCCAGUGGUUGGGGACAACUGAAGUACACUGUGUAGUGCGGGGGAGCUACACGCAUGCGCAUUGGGCAGAAAGAACGGAACUAAAACCCCGCAACCCGGAAACAAUCUCUCAACAGUAUUUUGUAUUUAUUUUUCAAUUUUCUUUCCGGAAUCUACUGGGAAAGUCUCAAAGAUCAACGGAUUGGCAACCACUAACGUACGGGUUAAGCACAGCAUCCUCGCAAACCUCCUGACAGACUGAAUAUUUGAAUGGACAGUUUCGUUUGUUAGACUGAAUGCUGAAUCUGCCAUGUUUUUCAGGUAUUUUGUAGUGGCAAACUGUUUCUGAGGGAUUUACAGUAGGUACAAAGACACAUGAUAGAAUCAAUGAAAAGCUACGAAGACAGGAGUGUGGAGGAAACCAGACCACCUGGAGGAAAACCAAGACGGUGCCGGAAUUUAACUUUGAAGCCAAGCUGUAAUGUCGUCACGCUAAUCGUUAUGGCGGCCUCUGAAGUACAUAUGCCCACGAAGUGAAGCAAGUUGCAGAAGUGUCCACACACAAGGUGAAUGACAAGAAAUUAUAUAGUCGUGGUGGUGGGAUGUGUUAGCGGGUGGAGGCUCUGAUCAGUCUUUCUACUUGGGGAAAGUAACUCUUUUUGAUUCUGAUGGUCCUGGUGUGGAAGUUACAUAGCCUCCUCCCUGAUGGGAUUGGAACAAACAGACCAUGAGCAGAGUGGGUGGGAUCCUUCAUGAUGUAAUUGGCCUUACAUAGAAAUCUACAGCACAUUACAGACCCUUCGGCCCAGAAUAUUGUGCUGACCAUGUAACCUACUCUAGAAACUGCCUAGAGUUUCCCUAGUGCAUAGCCCUCUAUUUUCCUAAGCUCCAUGUACCUAUCUAAGAGGGUCUUAAAAAGAUCCUAUUAUAUCCACUUCCACCACUGCAGCAUGUAGUGCAUUCCACGCACCCACCAAUCUGUGCGGAAAAACUUACGCCUGAUAUCCCCUCAGUGCCUAUUUCCAAGCACCUUAAAUCUAUGCCCCCUUGUGUUAACCAUUUGAGCCCUGGGAAAAAGCCUCUGGCUAUCCACAUGAUCAAUGCCCCUCAUCAUCUUAUACACCUCUACCAAGUCAUCCUCCGUUGCACCAAGCAGAAAAGGCCACGUUCACUCAACCUAAUCUCAUAAGGCACACCCUCUAAUCCAGGAAACAUCCUUGUAAAUCUCCUCUGCACUCUCUAUAGUAUACGCAUCCUUUCUGUAGUGAGGUGACCAGAAAUGAGCACAGUACUCCACGUGGGGUCUGACCAAGGUCUUACAUUACCUUACUGCUCCUGAACUCAAUCCGACAGUUGACGAAGGCCAACGCACCAUAUGCCUUCUUAACACUAUCAACCUGCGUAGCAGCUUUGAGCGUCCUAUGGACAUGGACGCCAACAUCUCUCAGAUCCUCCACACUGCCAAGAGUCUUCCCAUUAAUAUUAUAUUCGGCCUUCAAAUUUGACCUACCAAAAUGAACCUCUUCAAGUCAAGUCUAUUGUCAUUUCGACCAUAAACUACUGGUACAACAGAAACAACGUUCCUCUAGGACCCUGGUGCUACAUGAAACAACACAAAACUACACUAGACUAUGAAAAAACAUUAAAAAACAGCACUACAGACCUGCACAGAACAACAUAAAGUGCAUAAAACAGUGCAGGGCAGUACAAUUAAUAAACUUCACACUUAUCUGGGUUGAACUCCAUCUGCCACUUCUCAGCCCAGUUCUGCUUCCUAUCGAUGUCCCGCAUUAACCUCUGACAACCCUCCAGACUGUCCACAACAGCCCCAACCUUUGUGUCAUCAGCAAACUUACUAAUCCACCCUUCCACUUCCUCAUCCAGGUCAUUUAUAAAAAUCACAAACAGGAAGGGUCCCAGAACAGAUCCCUUUGCACCACCCCUGGUCACCGACCUCCAUGCAGAAUACAAACCAUCUACAACCACCUUUUGCCUUCUGUGGGCAAGCAAUUCUGGAUCCACAAAGCAAGGUCUCCUUGGAACCCAUGACUCCUUACUUUCUGAAGGUGCCUUGCAUGGGGAACCUUAUCAAACACCUUAUUGGAAUUCAUGUACGCUAUAUCCACUGCUCUGUCUUCAUCAAUGCAUUUUGUUACGUCCUCAAAGAAUUCAAUCAGGCUCGUAAGGCACAACCUGCCCUUGACAAAGCCAUGCUGAUUAUCCCUAAUCAGAUUAUGUCUCUCCAAAUGCUCAUAAAUCCUGUCCCUCAGGAGCUUCUCCAACAACUUGCCCACCACUGAAGUAAAACUCACUGGUGUAUAAUUUCCUGGGUUAUCUCUACUCCCUUUCUUGAACAAGGAAACAGCAUUUGCAACCCUCUAAUCCUCCGGUACUUCUCCCGUCCCUACUGAUGACACAAAGAUCAUUGCAAGAGGCUCAGCAAUCUCCUCCCUUGCCUCCCACAGUAGUCUAGGGUAUAUCUCACCCAAUCCCAGUGAUCUAUCUAACUUAAUGCUUUUAUAAAGCUCCAGCACAUCCUCUUUCUUGACACCUAAACGCUCAAGUAUUUCAAGUUCUCCCAAAUUGUCUGCUCUUAUCCCUCUCCAGCGCUAUGGUGAUGGAGAUCGAGUUGUGAUCAAUACCUUCAACAUGCUCUCCCACCCAGAGAUCUGACACCUGGCUAGGUUAAUUUCCCAAUAUCAGAUCAAGUGAAGCCUCUCCUCUAGUUUGCUUAUCUACAUAUUGUGUCAGGAACCCUUCCUGGGAGUCAGCAGGAAACACUCAUGGAGUGAGAACUGUUUCAGAUUCACUCCAUAACCUUUACUUUUUUAAACCUAUGAUCACUCUUUUUAAAUUACUUUUACCUACACCAAAAGAUUAUUGCUACUUUUUUGGACUUAUCUUUAAGAGAUUAUUGUGAAUUUUGAAGAAAUGAAUACAGAAAUGGCUCUUAGAUCUAAAGGGCGAGAACCUGGAAAAGAUUCUAACAGGAACGGGAAGAAGAAAAAGACCUAUCCUAAGCACACUGAAUUGACUUAUGAAAUGUUAUUGGAGAUAUUAAAUGAAAAAUUUGAAGCACAACGACAAAUUUUCAAACAAGAUAUAAAGGCCUUUCAGGAUUAUAUGGUUAAGACGGAUUCAGUAGUUAACCAGCAGCAAGCUCUAAUUGCAACUUUGCAAGAGGACGCUCGGAAGCGAGACUUGAUAAUCGAAAAACUGGAGCAGAAAUUAUCUUCGACGAUUAAACAGGUGGAAACACUUAAAGCCAAGAGUGUCGACUUUGAGAAUCGGUCCAGAAGACAGAACUUACGAAUACUUGGUCUCCCGGAAGGUAUUGAACAAGGGGAUGCCUCGAAGUACUUUGCUCAACUUUUAAAGGAUGUGUUCCCUUCUGUAUUCGCAGACAGUCCUCUGUUACUCGAUCGCGCUUGGUGAUGCGUCGACCACCAAGUGCUUCAGCUAAACCACCGGUUGUAAUUGUCCGAUUUCAUUAUGUGCAUGUUAAAGAGCAACUUAUUCGUGUAGCUCGGCGCGUAGGGAUGGUCAAAUUCCAAGAAUUCAAUUUUCGAUUAGUGGAGAAUUUUAGUCCAGAAGUAAUGAAGACAAGGCUUCUUUUUAAACCUCUGAUGUCCGAAUGUUAUGAGAAAAAUCUAAAACCUGCGCUUUUAUACCCUGCGAAGCUCAGAAUCUCGCCUCCCAAUGCAACUCGGCGUGUUUUCUUUUCUACAUUUGAAGCGAGAAGCUUUUUGAAUGAGAACUUCCCUACUGCUACGGAUUCUCAUCUCUAAUAAACGAGUGAUUUUGAUCGUUGCAAGAUGGUUUUUGUUUCCAAAACCAGAUUUUGUUUCUGGCUAUUGGUGUAGGUUUACUCUAUAUUUUAUACUCCAGUUAAAGUUUUUUUUUGAUGUACUAAUCUUUUUAUUUUAUUUACUUUAAUCAAUGUACUUUAUCUUUGGACAUUAUUAUUAAUCCUUCGAAGGUGAUUUUUUUUUACUAAGAUAGCGGUUUCUUCUCUAAAAUACUUCUGGCUUUUUUUUUUGAUUUCGCCAUUUUUUUUCCUCUCGUCUUCUUCCUAUAAUGCAUUUCUUAUCACAGUUUAAAUUUUUUUUUGGUUUGUUUGGGUUUUAACCCGAUUUAUAAGUUACUAGUGAUUAUAUUCCUUUUGUUUUUUUUAACUAGCAAUUAUAUUAAGAAGUUUGGUUUCAGUAUAGUGAUUAUUAUUUCUUUAGAGUUUGGGUGGAUCUUUUUUAUCCUUUAUAUACGGAGUUGCCUUCUGCUGAUAUGGGGGUAGAUUUAGUUUAAUUUCUCUUUUUUCCCAGCCUUUUCCUGGCUGGGGAGAACUUUUCUCCUUUUGGGUGGGGGGUGGGGGGUCUUUUUCUAAAUCUUAUGUUCUUUACACCAGUUUUUUUUAGUUUUUACAUUUGAGCUGAUUUUAAACUACUAAAAUGUCUGAUGUCAUCACUUCCAGGUCCGCCCCUUAUUUUUGUUCCUCUUCCGGGUGCACGAGGUCAUAAUUUGGUUAACUCUUUAUAUACCAAAGGGUUGAUUUCAGAAAUAUGGCUCAGACCAUUAAUUUUGUCUCUUGGAAUACUAAUGGCUUAAACCAUCCGAUUAAACGGAAAAAGAUUUUUAAAGUAUUCCAAAGACUGAAUGCACAUAUUAUUUUUGCACAAGAAACUCAUGUGAGGAAAGAGGAUAAUUAUCACUUUUUUAGGUUUUGGUGGGGUCAACAGUACAAUUCGAAUUUGAAUGCUAAAGUAAAGAGAGUUUCAAUUUUUAUUGACUCCUCUAUUGCAUUUGUCCAACACGAUAUCUUUUUGGAUCCGAAUGGUAGAUUUUUGUUAAUUACUGACUUACUUUUUAACAAAAAGGUUGCUAUGGUUAAUGUGUAUGUUCCAAAUGUGGAUUAUCCCGAUUGUUUUAAGUCCUUUUACUGUUUUACUUCUCUACCUAAUCUAAAUGAAUAUAAGUUAAUAAUGGGUGGUGACUUUAAUUGUUGUUUAAAUCCUUUGUUGGACAGAUCUAUAUCUACUCAGACUUCGGCCACUUAUAUUAACUCUUUUUUGACUGAUAAUGGAAUUCUUGAUAUUUGGAGAUUUCGGCAUUCUAAGGACAAAGAGUUUUCAUUUUUCUCACAUGUUUAUCAUUCCAACUCAAGAAUUGAUUAUUUUUUUAUUGACUCUUGUUUUAUUCCAUCGAUAAUUGGUUGUAAUUAUGAUAUUAUAGCCAUCUCUGACCAUGUUCCAUUAAAACUUUCUAUUAAAUUUACGG
Long non-coding RNA from Hypanus sabinus (Atlantic stingray), 6876 nucleotides. RefSeq lists it as uncharacterized. The transcript is spliced from 4 exons. The record is from RefSeq and is a predicted model, not a curated record. Lineage: Eukaryota; Metazoa; Chordata; Chondrichthyes; Myliobatiformes; Dasyatidae.